CUCUCCCUCACCCGCAUAGCCCACUCCCUCUUUUCUUUUCCUCUUCCUUUCUUUUCUCUCUCUCUCUUCUCUAUAGCAGCACGAUCUCCUUCUCCCCUCUCUUCCAUUUUCUUCCUCCUUUCUCUUCGUAUCACACACACGCACUCCCGAAAAAAGAUACACAAGGAGACCGUGUGGAGAGCAGUUUGUGAGAGUGAGAUUUUGAGAUGGAGAGUGUGAUGGGUUCCGGCCAUGGGAAUUUUUGUAAGGCACGUGUCAUGAUUGGAAACUUCAACGUGUUCUCCAAUCUAGAGUUCAAGUAACUAGAACACGGAGGAAUGUUGGAGUCAUAAGUCCAAUGCAGCCAAGAUGAUGUUUCUUUGGCUGCAGGUACUCUGGUAUAGUUAAUGGUUUGGUAGCGGUGUAUAUGAAAUGUUAUGACUGAAGCUCAUCGCGACGGUCGUAAUUGCUAGAC
Molecule: long non-coding RNA, 454 nt
Organism: Alnus glutinosa
Lineage: Eukaryota; Viridiplantae; Streptophyta; Magnoliopsida; Fagales; Betulaceae
Exons: 3
Source: RefSeq, a predicted model, not a curated record